RNAcentral lists this ribosomal RNA (261 nucleotides) under uncultured prokaryote. Its description in RNAcentral is "partial 16S ribosomal RNA". It matches the Rfam family "Bacterial small subunit ribosomal RNA", at positions 524 to 782 of the family's 1533-position model. The record is from RNAcentral.
UACGUAGGGUGCGAGCGUUGUCCGGAAUUACUGGGCGUAAAGAGCUCGUAGGUGGUUUGUCGCGUCGUCUGUGAAAUUCCGGGGCUUAACUCCGGGCGUGCAGGCGAUACCGGCAAUACUUGAGUGCUGUAGGGGAGGACUGGAAUUCCUGGUGUAGCGGUGAAAUGCGCAGAUAUCAGGAGGAACACCAAUGGCGAAGGCAGGUCUCUGGGCAGUAACUGACGCUGAGGAGCGAAAGCAUGGGUAGCGAACAGGAUUAGA